UACGUAGGGACCAAGCGUUGUUCGGAUUUACUGGGCGUAAAGGGCGCGUAGGCGGCAAUUCAAGUCAUCUGUGAAAUCUCCGGGCUUAACUCGGAACGGUCAGAUGAUACUGCUUUGCUAGAGUACAGAAGGGGCGAUCGGAAUUCUUGGUGUAGCGGUGAAAUGCGUAGAUAUCAAGAGGAACACCUGAGGUGAAGACGGGUUGCUGGGCUGAUACUGACGCUGAGGCGCGAAAGCUAGGGUAGCAAACGGG
RNAcentral lists this ribosomal RNA (253 nucleotides) under uncultured bacterium. RNAcentral describes it as "partial 16S ribosomal RNA". It matches the Rfam family "Bacterial small subunit ribosomal RNA", at positions 524 to 776 of the family's 1533-position model. The record is from RNAcentral.